GACGAACGCUGGCGGCGUGCUUAACACAUGCAAGUCGAACGCUGAAGACCUGGCUUUUGUUGGGUUGGAUGAGUGGCGAACGGGUGAGUAACACGUGAGUAACCUGCCCUCUUCUUUGGGAUAACGCCCGGAAACGGGUGCUAAUACUGGAUAUUCACUGAUCUUCGCAUGGGGGUUGGUGGAAAGGUUUGUUCUGGUGGGGGAUGGGCUCGCGGCCUAUCAGCUUGUUGGUGGGGUGAUGGCCUACCAAGGCUUUGACGGGUAGCCGGCCUGAGAGGGUGACCGGUCACAUUGGGACUGAGAUACGGCCCAGACGCCUACGGGAGGCAGCAGUGGGGAAUAUUGCACGAUGGGCGAAAGCCUGAUGCAGCGACGCCGCGUGAGGGAUGGAGGCCUUCGGGUUGUAAACCUCUUUCGCUCAUGGUCAAGCCGCAACUGUGGGUUGUGGUGAGGGUAGUGGGUAAAGAAGCGCCGGCUAACUACGUG
RNAcentral lists this ribosomal RNA (486 nucleotides) under uncultured bacterium. RNAcentral describes it as "partial 16S ribosomal RNA". It matches the Rfam family "Bacterial small subunit ribosomal RNA", at positions 28 to 507 of the family's 1533-position model. The record is from RNAcentral.